UCCAGACUCCUACGGGAGGCAGCAGUGGGGGAUAUUGCACAAUGGGGGGAACCCUGAUGCAGCGACGCCGCGUGGGUGAAGGAGCGUUUCGGCGCGUAAAGCCCUAUCGGCAGGGAAGAAGGAGGACGGUACCUGACUAAGAAGCCCCGGCUAACUACGUGCCAGCAGCCGCGGUAAUACGUAGGGGGCAAGCGUUAUCCGGAUUUACUGGGUGUAAAGGGGGCGCAGACGGCAGCGCAAGCCAGGAGUGAAAGCCCGGGGCCCAACCCCGGGACUGCUCUUGGAACUGCGCGGCUGGAGUGCAGGAGGGGCAGGCGGAAUUCCUGGUGUAGCGGUGAAAUGCGUAGAUAUCAGGAGGAACACCGGUGGCGAAGGCGGCCUGCUGGACUGCGACUGACGUUGAGGCCCGAAAGCGUGGGGAGCAAACAGGAUUAGAUACCCCCGUACA
RNAcentral lists this ribosomal RNA (448 nucleotides) under uncultured bacterium. Its description in RNAcentral is "partial 16S ribosomal RNA". It matches the Rfam family "Bacterial small subunit ribosomal RNA", at positions 330 to 794 of the family's 1533-position model. The record is from RNAcentral.